This 392-nucleotide long non-coding RNA is filed under the name Pan troglodytes (chimpanzee). Its description in RNAcentral is "long non-coding RNA NONPTRT006362". The record is from RNAcentral. Lineage: Eukaryota; Metazoa; Chordata; Mammalia; Primates; Hominidae.
CGUACGUCAUCGGUGUCGGCUCCCGCCGGCUGGGCGUCCGGUGGCCGGUGUAGCAGAGCGGGAGCGGCGGGCGGCGAGCAGAGGAGCUAACAGGGGAUUGUGGGAGGACACGGACCUAGACUCCAACAGUGACAGCUCUGAGUAAAGAAGUCGCCGAAGCAGUGGGACACUAGACGCGGGGAAGGCUUCCUGGAGGAAGUGAGGCCUAAACUGAGCCUUGAAGAAUGGUUAAGAGUUUGCUCCAGGAAUAUAUUGCAAAGGCAUUCUUGGCGGAAGGACCCGAGACGUGAAAAAAACAGGCGUAUUCUGGUAAUUUCGAGGAGAUGGAGAAGUAACAGCAUGUGUUUAUCCUGAUGGAAAGACUCCAGUAGAGAGGAAGAGAUUGAUGAUGU